CUUAUCUGAUCUCUUCAAGUUACUCACCAGGUGUGGGGGAAGAGUAGGGACUGAAGCCUUGGUCUCAUGAACAUCAUCAAGAGUGGGUUAUCCAGUCAGAUUUUCUCUUGCCCUCCAGAAAUACAGAGCGGAGGGAGAGAAACCAGGGUGCACGUCAGCGGUGAGCCAAACAUGAAGAAAUGUUCCUCUGGAGCAACAUUUGUUCGAGCAAAAGGCCCAGGUGAUCAGAGUGCUCGAGUUCCCCCCAGCUGUCGUUUCAAGAUCUUUCUGUUCCACCUGGAACCACGUAGUUCCAGCUGUCCCCUCACCUGUGUGUCUGCUGGGUUUUUACACCGCCAUGGCAAGGAGGCAAAGCCCAGCAGCUGUCAGACUCCAUCCCGUAUGACUCCCUGCACAAGGCUCUGCUGGCUGCAUCCCCCAGGACAAAGGUUCGUUCCUUUUCAUCCCUUUCUGCGCCGAGUGUAAUAAACAGAACAGGAAGCUGAAGGCAGUUUGGCUGGGGAAACAAGGCUCAAUAAUUAAAAACAAAAUCAGCAACAACAAAAAUAUGCAGAAAAACAACCAAAAAGAGCAGGUCAGCAGAGAGAAAGAAAGACACCUUUGACAGAGGAAAAGGAAAAGAAGGAAAAGCAACGUCCAGGCUGUUCUCAACCAGCGUGAACGGAGGUUGUGCAUAACAAAUACAGAGAUCUUGCCAUGUCCUACACAGGCUCCUCGUUUUGUUGGCCAUCCCUCCUGUGCCAAGAAGACUAAAUGCAGGGCCGGUUCCUCACCUGCUGUGACCUCUCAGAGCUUCCUUGGUGGCAAAGCUUUUCAGAGAACCUGAGGACGUGUCCUUGCCAUCACCGAGCAGACCUGUUCCAGUUCUUGAGGAGCUUGUGCCUUCCCCAGCUGCUGUUGUCCUAGAGGACUUGUUCCAGCCACACUCGUGCUAAGCAGGACCUCGUUCAGUACCCAGCCCCUCGGUAAUCAAUGUGUCUGCAGGGGAGGAAAUACGGUGUGCCAGUGAUACCUUGGAGCAUUUUGAACAUGAACGUGUUGUGCCAGUGACUUAUGAAGCUAGGUAGCUGUGAGCCAUGGAUGGAGGCCUUUCAGAACACAACCCACUGCACGUGUCCACUGUAUUUCAACACAGAUGUAAAUCCAUCUCCCAUAUCUGUGAACAUCUGAAUUCCAAAAAACAGAUGUAUUCAUUAACCGUCCAGAACAUGAAAAAAUAAAACAACCCUCUGAUGGUGAUGAACUUGUUCUGCAAUAGGGACUGCUGUAAGGACAAAGCCAUUGACCCAGAGCACAUCACUAAACAGAUUAAUUACUGCUGCCUGCUGGACACGGAAGAGUUGUCACUGCUGCUCCAUCCAGCUAUCUAUGAGGGAUCUCCAGGAAGCCUGUCACAGGGGCUUUGGCAUUAGUGAAAAUUAAGUGCUCUGUUGAAGGCACUAGUUUCUUGAGACUGAAGGGGAAGGAAGGAUUCAAUGUCAUUUCUCUUCCUGAAGCACAGUAUGGAGCUCACCUGAAGAACUGUGAGUAUUACUUACCCCCCACGGAGCAAAGGUAUGCCAUUUCCAAAAUUAGUGCUUCCCUUCACACAGAAUUAGUCUUCUGGGAAUUAUUUUCCUUCCUUCCUCACUGGCACGCACAGCGAAUAUUUUAACCUUGAAACAUCUUUUUGUCUUUCCUAUGCCUCAGUGAAAAUUAGCCUUGGAGUCCUAGCCCUCAGCUGUGAGGCUGAGGAGACAGUGGUGAUAGCGUCUUGCUUUCAGAGAGUAAUUACACCAAGGCUGACUAAUGCACAGCCCCAGCUGCACAGGAACAUCCAGAGUGGUCAGUCUCCUUAAGAAGCCUCCCUGAAAGUGAAUCCUUCAGCUAUUUUCAGUGCUGGCAAAGAGACUCCUUGCCUGCUGGGUAUGGGGGGCCACCACCAGGGCUGGCCUCAGUGAGGAAGCUGUGUCCUUCUAGAGGUGCUGCUCCUGACUAACGCAGGUGUAACAUAACACAGGUCAAAACCCAUCCUUGCUGCCUGGUCCAGGCAGAACCCUUUUGCUGUUGGGAAGAACUCAGCCAUCAAACUGUAGCAGUACUGUAGUCUCUGGAAGCUAGAUCCCCCAAAAGGAGACAUGACAACAGCUGCUGCUUUACCUUCUU
Long non-coding RNA from Anas platyrhynchos (mallard), 2145 nucleotides. RefSeq lists it as uncharacterized. Lineage: Eukaryota; Metazoa; Chordata; Aves; Anseriformes; Anatidae. The record is from RefSeq and is a predicted model, not a curated record.